This 870-nucleotide ribosomal RNA is filed under the name Paracremonium binnewijzendii. RNAcentral describes it as "partial large subunit ribosomal RNA". It matches the Rfam family "Eukaryotic large subunit ribosomal RNA", at positions 51 to 954 of the family's 3401-position model. The record is from RNAcentral. Lineage: Eukaryota; Fungi; Ascomycota; Sordariomycetes; Hypocreales; Nectriaceae.
CGGAGGAAAGAACCCAACAGGGAUUGCCCUAGUAACGGCGAGUGAAGCGGCAACAGCUCAAAUUUGAAAUCUGGCCCCCGGGUCCGAGUUGUAAUUUGUAGAGGAUGCUUUUGGUGCGGUACCUUCCGAGUUCCCUGGAACGGGACGCCAUAGAGGGUGAGAGCCCCGUCUGGUUGGACGCCAAUCCUUUGUAAAGCUCCUUCAACGAGUCGAGUAGUUUGGGAAUGCUGCUCUAAAUGGGAGGUAUAUGUCUUCUAAAGCUAAAUAUUGGCCAGAGACCGAUAGCGCACAAGUAGAGUGAUCGAAAGAUGAAAAGCACUUUGAAAAGAGAGUUAAAAAGUACGUGAAAUUGUUGAAAGGGAAGCGCUCAUGACCAGACUUGGGCUUGGUUGAUCAUCCAGGGUUCUCCCUGGUGCACUCUUCCGGCCCAGGCCAGCAUCAGUUCGCUGUGGGGGAUAAAGGCUUCGGGAAUGUGGCUCCCUCGGGAGUGUUAUAGCCCGUUGUGUAAUACCCUGUGGUGGACUGAGGUUCGCGCAUUCGCAAGGAUGCUGGCGUAAUGGUCAUCAGCGACCCGUCUUGAAACACGGACCAAGGAGUCGUCUUCGUAUGCGAGUGUUCGGGUGUCAAACCCCUACGCGUAAUGAAAGUGAACGCAGGUGAGAGCUUCGGCGCAUCAUCGACCGAUCCUGAUGUUCUCGGAUGGAUUUGAGUAAGAGCAUACGGGGCCGGACCCGAAAGAAGGUGAACUAUGCCUGUAUAGGGUGAAGCCAGAGGAAACUCUGGUGGAGGCUCGCAGCGGUUCUGACGUGCAAAUCGAUCGUCAAAUAUGGGCAUGGGGGCGAAAGACUAAUCGAACCUUCUAGUAGCUGG